This 465-nucleotide ribosomal RNA is filed under the name uncultured bacterium. RNAcentral describes it as "partial 16S ribosomal RNA". It matches the Rfam family "Bacterial small subunit ribosomal RNA", at positions 338 to 795 of the family's 1533-position model. The record is from RNAcentral.
CCUACGGGUGGCUGCAGUAGGGAAUCUUCCGCAAUGGGCGAAAGCCUGAUGGAGCAACGCCGCGUGGGUGAAGAAGGUCUUCGGAUCGUAAAACUCUGUUAUUAGGGAAGAAAGUGCGUGGGAGUAACUGUUCACGUUUCGACGGUAUCUAACCAAGCAGCCACGGCUAACUACGUGCCAGCAGCCGCGGUAAUACGUAGGUGGCAAGCGUUAUCCGGAGUUAUUGGGCGUAAAGGGAACGUAGGGGGACUUUUAAGUCUGAUGUGAAAGCCUUCGGCUUAACCGGAGUAGUGCAUUGGAAACUGGGAGACUUGAGUGCAGAAGAGGAGAGUGGAAAUCCAUGUGUAGCGGUGAAAUGCGUAGAUAUAUGGAAGAACACCAGUGGCGAAAGCGGCUCUCUGGUCUGUAACUGACGCUGAGGUUCGAAAGCGUGGGUAGCAAACAGGAUUAGAUACCCCAGUAGUC